This 478-nucleotide ribosomal RNA is filed under the name uncultured bacterium. RNAcentral describes it as "partial 16S ribosomal RNA". It matches the Rfam family "Bacterial small subunit ribosomal RNA", at positions 28 to 523 of the family's 1533-position model. The record is from RNAcentral.
GACGAACGCUGGCGGCAUGCCUAACACAUGCAAGUCGAGCGAGCUGAUUCCUUCGGGAUGAAGCUAGCGGCGGACGGGUGAGUAACACGUGGGCAACCUGCCUCAUAGAGGGGAAUAGCCUUCCGAAAGGAAGAUUAAUACCGCAUAAGAUUGCAUCUUCGCAUGAAGAAGCAAUUAAAGGAGCAAUCCGCUAUGAGAUGGGCCCGCGGCGCAUUAGCUAGUUGGUGAGGUAACGGCUCACCAAGGCGACGAUGCGUAGCCGACCUGAGAGGGUGAUCGGCCACAUUGGGACUGAGACACGGCCCAGACUCCUACGGGAGGCAGCAGUGGGGAAUAUUGCACAAUGGGGGAAACCCUGAUGCAGCAAUGCCGCGUGAGUGAUGACGGCCUUCGGGUUGUAAAGCUCUUUUACCAGGGAUGAUAAUGACAGUACCUGGAGAAUAAGCUCCGGCUAACUCCGUGCCAGCCGCCGCCGUAA